GAAAAAGUCCUCUGGGAUAAUUUCUGAAGUCACAUGCUCAGUCAAGGAAGCUGGCUUUCUCCUGCAUUGGAAGAGUUGAACAACUUCUUUCCAGCAUGCAUAUGUAGUUGCUGACAACUGGGAACAGCUGUGCACAAAAGCCUGUGUGCAUAAAUCCUAAAGGCACCCUCUGGACUACCCAAGUGAUGAUGCCAUCAAGAAUGGCCCUGCCUGCAGUAGUGGACCUCAGUCCCCAUGACACAAAAGACAAUAGCCAAAAAGGACUUUUGACAUCUGAAGACUAACUGGCAGACAGCAUGCUGGGCAAGGAUAUUGAAAAGAAAUCUCUGGUCUCUUCUGAAGCUGCAAGAUAAGGGAAGUCUUACUUUCCAAGGAAAAAG
Molecule: long non-coding RNA, 380 nt
Organism: Grus americana (Whooping crane)
Lineage: Eukaryota; Metazoa; Chordata; Aves; Gruiformes; Gruidae
Exons: 3
Source: RefSeq, a predicted model, not a curated record